GGUGAGGUGGCUGAGCUAGGCGGUAAGCUGUAAACUUAUUUACGAAUUUUUUUCUCUUGCC
Molecule: transfer RNA, 61 nt
Filed under: Lucanus fortunei
Lineage: Eukaryota; Metazoa; Arthropoda; Insecta; Coleoptera; Lucanidae
Description: tRNA-Tyr
Source: RNAcentral